This 253-nucleotide ribosomal RNA is filed under the name uncultured bacterium. RNAcentral's name for it is "partial 16S ribosomal RNA". It matches the Rfam family "Bacterial small subunit ribosomal RNA", at positions 524 to 776 of the family's 1533-position model. The record is from RNAcentral.
UACGAAGGGAGCUAGCGUUGUUCGGAAUCACUGGGCGUAAAGCGCACGUAGGCGGAUGUGUCAGUCAGGGGUGAAAUCCCGGAGCUCAACUUCGGAACUGCCUUUGAUACAGCACGUCUUGAGUCCGAUAGAGGUGGGUGGAAUUCCUAGUGUAGAGGUGAAAUUCGUAGAUAUUAGGAAGAACACCGGUGGCGAAGGCGGCCCACUGGUCCGGUACUGACGCUGAUGUGCGAAAGCGUGGGGAGCAAACAGG